UGGAGCUGGGACUUGGUAUGACAGAUCUCAGCUGUGAAAGGUGUGGAGCUUGGACUUGGUAUGACAGAUCUCAGCUGUGAAAGGUGUGGAGCUGGGACUUGGUAUGACAGAUCUCAGCUGUGAAAGGUGUGGAGCUGGGACUUGGUAUGACAGAUCUCAGCUGUGAAAGGUGUGGAGCUGGGACUUGUUAUGACAGAUCUCAGCUGUGAAAGGUGUGGAGCUUGGACUUGGUAUGACAGAUCUCAGCUGUGAAAGGUGUGGAGCUUGGACUUGGUAUGACAGAUCUCAGCUGUGAAAGGUGUGGAGCUGGGACUUGGUAUGACAGAUCUCAGCUGUGAAAGGUGUGGAGCUAGGACUUGGUAUGACAGAUCUCAGCUGUGAAAGGUGUGGAGCUGGGACUUGGUAUGACAGAUCUCAGCUGUGAAAGGUGUGGAGCUGGGACUUGGUAUGACAGAUCCCAGCUGUGAAAGGUGUGGAGCUGGGACUUGGUAUGACAGAUCUCAGCUGUGAAAGGUGUGGAGCUUGGACUUGUUAUGACAGAUCUCAGCUGUGAAAGGUGUGGAGCUUGGACUUGUUAUGACAGAUCUCAGCUGUGAAAGGUGUGAAGCUGGGACUUGGUAUGACAGAUCUCAGCUGUGAAAGCUGUGGAGCUGGGACUUGUUAUGGCAGAUCUCAGCUGUGAAAGGUGUGGAGCUGGGACUUGGUAUGACAGAUCUCAGCUGUGAAAGGUGUGGAGCUGGGACUUGGUAUGACAGAUCUCAGCUGUGAAAGGCUGUCUGAACAGGCUGAAAUGGCUCACACAAUUCCGAUCCAUGUUUAUGCCUGGCUUUUUUGGAAAUUACUCAACCAUUUCCUCAGUUAUUGUUAUGACAAGUGCAUGUACCAAGUAUGUAUGUGUUGGAAUUGCAUAUGAUUUUGUGUGUGUAUAUUUUGAUAUUUGGUUUGACCCAGUUGAGAGAUUUUGUUCUCAGCUAUGAUUUCACAGAAUUCCAGUCAGAUACAAUGACUAUAAACUGGGUAUCCAUACCUUGAGUCCAACCCUAGAGCACCAAGGUCUCACCAACAUAGAAAUGAUAUCAUAUACAUGGAGAAAAAUGGCCCGGAGUUGUUUUUCAGAUAUGCUAGCCAUGGAAACUAAAUUUGACUUCCAAAAGAAAUGGUUCAAGCAAUAUGUGGAGACUUUCUGUAGGAUGGUUGAGGGAACGUUUCACCUUGCAACUCCUUGUCAUAAAAAAUAUUGUGUAAGCAGUGUGUUUGACCAAUGUGACUGUUCUGUCAGUAAGCACAGUCAAACCCAAUACAGGCACUGCCACUGUCAAGGCAGGGGUCUGAACCAGUUGGAGGAGAGUCACUUCCUUAUGAAACACAGAUGAAGUUAUCUCCCUUUGAACACAGCAGCAGGAGUAAUGGGACCCAGCACACAAGGUACAUGGUGUGUGAGACUGGCCCAGUCAGGACACAACACUCAUUCAGGCCCCCAAGUAAGGGAGGUUGUGAACACCCAAGCAGGUUUCCUCAUGGGAGCAUCAAUACCAUGAAAGAGCACCACAAUGCUUUGCAGAUCAUAGUGACAUCAUCUCGAGGUGCAAACUUACAUCGACUUGAGUUGAUAAAUUUGUUGUCAAAAGACGCUGUGGUGAGACUGUGUUGUGUUAGAACAGCCGCUCCAUUGUGUGAGUGCACUAUUGAGGAGAACAAUGCAGUCAGCCCAUGACAUUUGUAUAUUUCUUGUACAAAUCAUUAAAUAUUUUCUCAUGAA
Haliotis rubra (blacklip abalone) is the source of this 1759-nucleotide long non-coding RNA. RefSeq lists it as uncharacterized. The record is from RefSeq and is a predicted model, not a curated record. NCBI's taxonomy places the organism in Eukaryota, Metazoa, Mollusca, Gastropoda, Lepetellida, Haliotidae. The transcript has 2 exons.